UUGCUUAGGCAGCAUACAUACUAAGACUGGAUUGAUACAGAGAUUAGCAUGGCCCCCAUGCAAGGAUGACACAGAGGUUUGUGAAGUGUUCCGUAUUUUU
Molecule: small nuclear RNA, 100 nt
Filed under: Suricata suricatta (meerkat)
Lineage: Eukaryota; Metazoa; Chordata; Mammalia; Carnivora; Herpestidae
Source: RNAcentral